Molecule: ribosomal RNA, 1536 nt
Filed under: Pertusaria sp. Printzen 1998
Lineage: Eukaryota; Fungi; Ascomycota; Lecanoromycetes; Pertusariales; Pertusariaceae
Description: eukaryotic LSU rRNA
Rfam family: Eukaryotic large subunit ribosomal RNA
Source: RNAcentral
CGAGUUGUAAUUUGUAGAGGGUGCUUCGGGCGCGCGACCGGCCUAAGUUCCUUGGAACAGGGCGUCAUAGAGGGUGAGAGUCCCGUCCGUGGCCGGCCGUCACCCCCGGGUGAAGCCCCUUCGACGAGUCGAGUUGUUUGGGAAUGCAGCUCAAAAUGGGUGGUAAAUUCCAUCUAAGGCUAAAUACCGGCCAGAGACCGAUAGCGCACAAGUAGAGUGAUCGAAAGAUGAAAAGCACUUUGAAAAGAGAGUCAAACAGUACGUGAAAUUGUUGAAAGGGAAGCGCCGGCAACCAGACGUGCCCGCGGGCGAUCAGCCGGCCUUCGGGUCGGCGCACUCGCCCGCGAUCAGGCCAGCAUCGGUCGUGGGGGUCGGACAAAGGUGCGCGGGAACGUAGCUCCUCUCGGGGAGUGUUAUAGCCCGUGCCGCCAUGCGGCCACCCGCGACCGAGGACCGCGCUUCGGCUAGGAUGCUGGCGUAAUGGUUGUCGGCGACCCGUCUUGAAACACGGACCAAGGAGUCUAACAUCCAUGCGAGUGUUUGGGCGUCAAACCCCGGCGCGGAAUGAAAGUGAACGGAGGUGGGAGCUCCGGCGCACCAUCGACCGAUCCUGAUGUCUUCGGAUGGAUUUGAGUAGGAGCAUGGCUGUUGGGACCCGAAAGAUGGUGAACUAUACGUGAAUAGGGUGAAGCCAGAGGAAACUCUGGUGGAGGCUCGCAGCGGUUCUGACGUGCAAAUCGAUCGUCAAAUUUGCGUAUAGGGGCGAAAGACUAAUCGAACUAUUGAUCGAGCGGCGCGGGCUGCGAGGUAGUUGAGGAUCGGCCGUCCCGCCCGCGGGGACGUGCCCUCAGUCUUGCGUAGACGACAUCGCUAGUUGCGUGGACGGCCCCCCCCCCCCUCCCCYUUCCGACGCGGGGAGGGGGUGGCCGACACGCUGCGGUCCUCCCCGGACCGUCGACAGACCAGACAGCGAUGGCCGGCUCCCGGGGGAGCGCGGUUCAGAGAUGGCCGAGUCCCCCUCCGCAGGGAGGGGAGGGUAAAACGCUAGUAGCUGGUUCUUGCCGAAGUUUCCCUCAGGAUAGCAGUAACGUCGUCAGUUUUAUGAGGUAAAGCGAAUGAUUAGAGGCCUUGGGGUUGAAACAACCUUAACCUAUUCUCAAACUUUAAAUAUGUAAGAAGUCCUUGUUACUUUGUUGAACGUGGACAUUCGAAUGUACCGUUACUAGUGGGCCAUUUUUGGUAAGCAGAACUGGCGAUGCGGGAUGAACCGAACGCGAGGUUAAGGUGCCGGAAUGGACGCUCAUCAGACACCACAAAAGGUGUUAGUUCAUCUAGACAGCCGGACAGUGGCCACGGAAGUCGGAAUCUGCUAAGAAGUGUGUAAAAACUUACCGGCCGAAUGAACUAGCCCUGAAAAUGGAUGGCGCUCAAGCGUCCUACCCAUACCUCGCCGUCAGGGUAGACACGAUGCCCUGACGAGUAGGCAAGCGUGGGGGUCCGUACGAAGCCUCGGGCGUAGCCCGGGUCGAACGGCCC